Molecule: long non-coding RNA, 1710 nt
Filed under: Phasianus colchicus (ring-necked pheasant)
Lineage: Eukaryota; Metazoa; Chordata; Aves; Galliformes; Phasianidae
Description: lncRNA (ENSPCLG00000009710.1)
Source: RNAcentral
CUCACAUUCUGCUGAACAGGGGAAGCAGCCAGGAGGGGUGCUGGAGGCCAAGAUUUGCAAAACUGGCUGAUGUUAAGGCGCUGUGUGGAACGCAGCUGAGGACAGCUGGGGGGGACACACCAGCAUCCUCAGGGGGUGCCUGGGGUCCAGCCUGGAUGUGGCAGCCACCGGCACCAUGGGCUCGGUGCAGCGCUCUGAGAAGGGCAGAGCAGACCACAGCAAGCACAGCAGUAUAACCAUCAAAUAUGGCAAGCAUCAGGAACAGACUGAAGCAUGGAGAAUGGCAGAGAUCUAAGGGAUGUAAUGAGACACCAGCACCCUUUCCUCCCUGCAGCCCCCAGCCCAAGCCCUCCGCCUUGCCAGCCCUUCCCGGCUGUCCCGCUCCUGGGGGAGGGAGGGCAACCGACCUGGACAGUCCUCCUGGGAGGCAAAUAUUGAAUGAAGUGGUGAACGUUGCUUUGGACAAACUCGCUCAGGAAAAUUCCUUCAGGGUUUUAGCUUGCUGGUCUGUAAAGGGAAGUUGUGAAGGUCAAACAUGUUUCAUGUCGUUCUUCUGUGUGCUCGGACUGACCGGUUCCGGAUGCACUUGGGAGGGGACACAGCACUGGCUACCCUAUCUGCAUGAGAAUAAGAGCUCUCCUGUGAAAAUGUGCAUGACUGCUUUUUGGAAGAGAUGUAAAAUGGAGGUCUUAGCCAUUUGUUGUCACUGAAGAUCCCAUGGCUUUUUUUAGAAGAUCGGAGCCAUUAGCUCUGGUGUCCUGGCUCCCUCCAGCCCCACUAACUGUUGCUCACCUGAUGCUGAUCACCUUCAUCUGGGGCCACUUUCUGCCCUGCCUGUCCCAGGGCUGUGCAAUCGCAUCAGUGGCCAGGACCCUCCCACAAGAAGGAAGUCUUCAAGAAAAUUCCACAUUGAGUUUUGGAUCAGGAAGGUUUGCUGGGACUCAGAGGGAUGCAAAUGGCUCCAAGGCUCCAAAGUUGCCCAAUCCUGGCCAUUGAGAAGAGUACCCAGCCCAGGCUCAUCCCACACAGCUGCAGUGGUUGACUAUUAGCUGGGAGUACAGCUGUGUGUCUACAAGAUGAGUUCUUGUCCAAAUAGGAAAGAGACCCUGCCAUUUGCUUCCUGAUGCAGAAAUAUCUGAAAAAGGAGUUUGGCAAACAAAAUUGGAGGUAUCUGCUCUUCUCUCUUGCUUUGCCUCUCUCCAUGCUGCAGCCAGAAGGGAUGCUGGGAAGCAGGAAUGCUACUUUUGCAGCCAGGUUUCAGAAGAUCCCAGCUUGGAUGUUACAAUGGAGCUGCACACAGGAAUGACUGAAGGAGAACAAAAGUCAUACUCAAAUGUCUUAGAUAGCAAGAAAGAAUUUUCCUCCAAGACAGUAUUCUGAAGCUUUGCCAAGGAAGAUGGAUAAUGUCCUUCGAUCAUCUUCACUCCUCCUGCUUUGCCUCUAGCCCUGGCUAUUCUCCACUGUGAUCUGCUCACCCUUAAGGCAUCAUGGGAGGAAAGGACCCAUAUUUGGUUUGGUACUGGGUUUUCCUUUAGUUCCAUUUCUUUAUCUCUGCAUUUUAAAUGUGCCCUCACGGAACCACCUGCCUUUGUUAGGAGUUUCCUGAACUCCACACUGUGCCAAAGCUGGAAGGGACUUAUCCCAGAGCUCAGUGGACUGUUUGCUUCUGAGGCAUCUGGAAGGCUGCCUGUCGUGGUUCUUCCAUCUCCU